RNAcentral lists this long non-coding RNA (1751 nucleotides) under Mytilus galloprovincialis (Mediterranean mussel). The record is from RNAcentral. Lineage: Eukaryota; Metazoa; Mollusca; Bivalvia; Mytilida; Mytilidae.
CAUGUUUGUACAAAGUGAUAAUCAUUAAAUGUUAAAACUAUUAUAAAAUCUAAACAAUUUCAUCUAGAAAAGUGUCAUUCAUAUAUAAAACUGCGAACACGAAGGCGUUUUCCAAUAAACAGGUGACGUUUAAGUAGGCGUUUCCAACGUUUCAGUAGGAGAACACCUCCACAUGUACAUGCUCUGUAAAGGAAACGUUCUACAAGGGUCAACAUAUCUUAUGACAUAAGAACCAUUUUAAAACCAGGAAAAACUAAAACGAAUAGGCACACAAGAUCCCAUUAAACACUACAUAGAAAGACUGAGUAACAUGCACCCCACCAAAACAUCGGUGGUUAUCCUAGGUGUUUCGGAAGGGAAAACAGUUACUGUUCUAAGAAUGACACUCGUCGUAUUACGUAUCAUGAGUGUGAUAAAGUCACAAACUUUAUGUGAUAAGUUUAAUUCGAUGAAAUGACAAUCAAGAAACAGAGGACGGGAUUUCGUCAAAGACAUCAGGAACAUACCCGUGAUGUUCUGUGACACAGAUAUGUUAUAACAGACAACAAAAUCAUGAUGACGUCCGUAUAAUUUUCGAAGGGAUGCCUUCAACAAAACCUUUAGAAACCAUUUUUAAAUAGCUGUUUCAUGUGCAGCAACCAUUUACCAAGAGACAAUUAUGAUAAAAAACGAAAGAACUGUGAUAUUACGUCAACUAGGAGACAAAAACUCCAUAUGAAGGCGACACUAAUAUGUUGCUACAUAGAAAAGGAAUGCGCACAGAUAGAAAGCUGAUAUUGUCUCUUUUGUCGUACAUUUUUUGUUUUCAUUAUCAAUUUCUAUAUGUCAAUUAAGAUAUGAGUUAGACUUAUGUGUAUUUUUGGUAUUCCUUAUUUCAUAUUUGCUGGGAUCGAUGCACUCAACAAAGGCACCAAACUUUGCAUUAUCUAGUGGAGGGACGACAAAUUAAAAGGAUAAUUGUAGUUUUUUUUCUUUUUUCCAGAGAAGCCUCAGCGGAAUUGAAGAACACGUCGGCAAAGGAAGUAGUUCCCAUGGGAAUGCCGAUUGUCGGAUGAAAAACUCAUAUUCCAAACGUACCAAAUGUAUUGUCAUUAAAAAAAAACAUCUGAAUUAUGCAAGGUUCUACUAAAAGUUUUGAAUGGAAAUGGGGAAUUUGUCAAAGAGAAAACAACCCGACUAAAGUAUAGAAAACAAUAAUAGGCCACCAAUUUUCAACACAGCGAGAAAAUCCCGUACCUGGAGGCCUGCUUCAGCUAAACAAAAAUGUGUACUAGUUCAGUGACAAAGGACGUCAUACUUAACUCCGAAAUAUAUCAAUGAAUUAAAAUUGAAAAUCAAAUAAGACUGACAAAGGCCAGAGGCUCCUGACUCUGGACAGGCGCAAAAAAUGCAGCGGGGUUAAACAUGUUUUGUGAUAUAUCGACCCUCCACCUAUACCUUUAGCCAAUGUAAAGGUUUUGUUUUGUUUUGUUCAAUGUUUUUAAAGUAUCAUUUGUAUCCUUUCGUAACCCUAUAUUAUUGUAUCUGAAUUGGUCAUUUUUUCAAUAUCCAUAACGGGUAGAAGUCAGUUAAAAAACAAAAUUUACAAGAGAAAAGAGACAUACUCAAUUUGCCCUCGCAGAUCUUGUAUUUUGUUUUAAAAUGGACUGUGCACAAAGUCCCACAAGAACGCGCCUUUACAGUUACUCUGAAGCUAAACUUUGAUUGCUAAUAACACAACCGGUGAAAUGGUUGCACGAUGCAAAUUUCAC